GAUGAAGAACGUAGCGAAAUGCGAUAAGUAAUGUGAAUUGCAGAAUUCAGUGAAUCAUCGAAUCUUUGAACGCACAUUGCGCCCGCCAGUAUUCUGGCGGGCAUGCCUGUUCGAGCGUCAUUUCAACCAUCAAGCCCCCGGCUUGUGUUGGGGACCUGCGGCUGCCGCAGGCCCUGAAAACCAGUGGCGGGCUCGCUAGUGACUCCGAGCGUAGUAAUACAUCUCGCUCAGGGCGUGCUGCGGGUUCCGGCCGUUAAAAAGCCUUAUUUACCCAAGGUUGACCUCGGAUCAGGUAGGAAGACCCGCUGAACUUAAGAAUAUCAAUAAGCGGAGGA
Molecule: unclassified non-coding RNA, 335 nt
Filed under: soil metagenome
Description: partial contains 5.8S ribosomal RNA, internal transcribed spacer 2, and large subunit ribosomal RNA
Rfam family: 5.8S ribosomal RNA (bases 1-120)
Source: RNAcentral